RNAcentral lists this ribosomal RNA (355 nucleotides) under Mesorhizobium sp. RNAcentral describes it as "partial 23S ribosomal RNA". It matches the Rfam family "Bacterial large subunit ribosomal RNA", at positions 1354 to 1716 of the family's 2925-position model. Lineage: Bacteria; Pseudomonadati; Pseudomonadota; Alphaproteobacteria; Hyphomicrobiales; Phyllobacteriaceae. The record is from RNAcentral.
CCUACGCAACGUUCAUCGGCGUAGGGUGAGUCGGCCCCUAAGGCGAGGCAGAAAUGCGUAGCUGAUGGGAAGCAGGUUAAUAUUCCUGCACCAUUGUUGAAUGCGAUGGGGGGACGGAUCGCGGAAGGUUGUCCGGGUGUUGGAAGUCCCGGUCCUUGCAUUGGAGAAGGCGCUUUGGCAAAUCCGGGCGCGGGAUUCAAGGGUGCGAGGCCAGUGACCUAGGUCACGAAGCAAUCGGAAGUGGUUCCAGGAAAAGCCUCUAAGCUUCAGUUCAACAAGACCGUACCGCAAACCGACACAGGUGGGCGAGAUGAGUAUUCUAAGGCGCUUGAGAGAACUCGGGAGAAGGAACUCG